This 253-nucleotide ribosomal RNA is filed under the name uncultured bacterium. RNAcentral describes it as "partial 16S ribosomal RNA". It matches the Rfam family "Bacterial small subunit ribosomal RNA", at positions 524 to 776 of the family's 1533-position model. The record is from RNAcentral.
UACGGGGGGGGCAAGCGUUGUUCGGAAUUACUGGGCGUAAAGGGCUCGUAGGUGGCCAACUAAGUCAGGCGUGAAAUCCCUCAGCUUAACUGGGGAACUGCGUCUGAUACUGGAUGGCUUGAGUUUGGGAGAGGGAUGCGGAAUUCCAGGUGUAGCGGUGAAAUGCGUAGAUAUCUGGAGGAACACCGGUGGCGAAGGCGGCAUCCUGGACCAACACUGACACUGAGGAGCGAAAGCCAGGGGAGCAAACGGG